GCUCACCGCAAUGUGGACCACUACACACAAUGGAUUAAUGGACUGCAACUAGACUGAUGCUGAACUGGAGUCAGCGCCAACAUGGAAUGGAAACUCUGGAUUCUGACUCUACUUCUCGCUUUACUGAAACCUCAGCUACACUUCUUCUAUGACUGGACGAAGGAAAAUGGGACUUUAGAAAUGGGGAUAUAAUUCCACAGAAAUAAGGCUUUCUACCAUAUCUCAUUCUCAGGUGUGGAUAGUGGGAGCCUUGAACCAAAUCUCUAAAAAACAAGGAGUGAAGUGUUGGUCCUGCAAGUUGCUGCUUGUGUUGGCAGGUGAAUGAAUCCGCGGGCGCUGCUGGAGAGAGAAACUUGCUGCUUUCCACACCCAUUCCUGAAUUGCAAGAAGGAAAACCUACCCAGAAGCUGGAAGGAAUCCAGAAGACAUGGACAAACCCACAGCUUCUCCCCUGAGAGAGAGAUGUCCAUUAGGGUGUUGUAAUGGGGUUUUCUUCCAAGGCCCCCAGCUUGACAAAUCUGGUAACAGAGAGAAAUAUAUUG
This is a long non-coding RNA of Molossus molossus (Pallas's mastiff bat), 542 nucleotides long. RefSeq lists it as uncharacterized. Lineage: Eukaryota; Metazoa; Chordata; Mammalia; Chiroptera; Molossidae. The transcript has 3 exons. The record is from RefSeq and is a predicted model, not a curated record.